This 363-nucleotide ribosomal RNA is filed under the name Pseudomonas sp. Its description in RNAcentral is "bacterial SSU rRNA". It matches the Rfam family "Bacterial small subunit ribosomal RNA", at positions 38 to 399 of the family's 1533-position model. Lineage: Bacteria; Pseudomonadati; Pseudomonadota; Gammaproteobacteria; Pseudomonadales; Pseudomonadaceae. The record is from RNAcentral.
CAGGCGGGCCAGGCCUAACACAUGCAAGUCGAGCGGUAGAGAGAAGCUUGCUUCUCUUGAGAGCGGCGGACGGGUGAGUAAUGCCUAGGAAUCUGCCUGGUAGUGGGGGAUAACGUUCGGAAACGGACGCUAAUACCGCAUACGUCCUACGGGAGAAAGCAGGGGACCUUCGGGCCUUGCGCUAUCAGAUGAGCCUAGGUCGGAUUAGCUAGUUGGUGGGGUAAUGGCUCACCAAGGCGACGAUCCGUAACUGGUCUGAGAGGAUGAUCAGUCACACUGGAACUGAGACACGGUCCAGACUCCUACGGGAGGCAGCAGUGGGGAAUAUUGGACAAUGGGCGAAAGCCUGAUCCAGCCAUGCCG